This 216-nucleotide ribosomal RNA is filed under the name uncultured bacterium. Its description in RNAcentral is "partial 16S ribosomal RNA". It matches the Rfam family "Bacterial small subunit ribosomal RNA", at positions 1284 to 1500 of the family's 1533-position model. The record is from RNAcentral.
GUACCCAGUUCGGAUCGCAGGCUGCAACCCGCCUGCGUGAAGUUGGAAUCGCUAGUAAUCGCGGAUCAGCAUGCCGCGGUGAAUACGUUCCCGGGCCUUGUACACACCGCCCGUCACACCAUGAGAGUCGGGAACACCCGAAGUCCGUAGCCUAACCGCAAGGGGGCGCGGCCGAAGGUGGGUUCGAUAAUUGGGGUGAAGUCGUAACAAGGUAUC